UGGGAAUAUUGGACAAUGGAGGAAACUCUGAUCCAGUGACGCCGCGUGAAGGAAGAAGGUCUUCGGAUUGUAAACUUAUUCUGUCAGGGAAGAAAAAAAUGACUGUACCUGAAGAAAAAGCACCGGCUAACUACGUGCCAGCAGCCGCGGUAAUACGUAGGGUGCAAGCGUUAUCCGGAUUUACUGGGUGUAAAGGGCGAGUAGACGGCGUUGCAAGUCAGAUGUGAAAACCUAGGGCUCAACCGUAGGACUGCAUCUGAAACUGUAAUGCUAGAGUGCAGGAGAGGUAAGCGGAAUUCCUAGUGUAGCGGUGAAAUGCGUAGAUAUUAGGAGGAACACCAGUGGCGAAGGCGGCUUACUGGACUGUAACUGACGUUGAGGAGCGAAAGUGUGGGGAGCAAACAG
RNAcentral lists this ribosomal RNA (405 nucleotides) under uncultured bacterium. RNAcentral's name for it is "bacterial SSU rRNA". It matches the Rfam family "Bacterial small subunit ribosomal RNA", at positions 356 to 775 of the family's 1533-position model. The record is from RNAcentral.